This is a long non-coding RNA of Cygnus atratus (black swan), 1991 nucleotides long. RefSeq lists it as uncharacterized. The record is from RefSeq and is a predicted model, not a curated record. Lineage: Eukaryota; Metazoa; Chordata; Aves; Anseriformes; Anatidae. The transcript is spliced from 3 exons.
CUCAAAGGAAGAAAUGUGAAAUUAGUUCUGAAACUACACUGACUAAUAACCAGGUCAGUUUUAUUACCUGUUUCUACCUUGAGUGCCAACAUUACAUUUAAUGUAAAAGACUAACAUAAAAGGAGAAGAUAAAUGGAAUGACCUCCACGUGGGAUGGGACCUUUGAAAGGGCAAGGCCCAGCACUCUUCCCAGCCUGGAUUAUCCCAGCAUUGGAGAGAAUAUUUAUGACUGUCGAAGUGAGGCUGAGUUCCUGGAGACGGGAUAACGCAUGGCUUUAUGCUGCCAGACAGAGAGUUCCUUCUGGUGGUCACACCAAUGUUUUUUCAUACUCCCACGGACACCACAACUUUUUUGGAUAAGGAAGAAGAUGAUGGAACACAGAUGAGGGAAAGAAAUGGCCUCAGAGAACUUGGAUACAUGGGGGUAUUUUUACCCUUUGGGGUUUUUUCUUCCUGAAUUUCAAUGAGUGGCUUAUUGGAAACUUCUUUGGGUUUGAAGUGUUUUGUUCUUGUUCCACACACACAAAACUGUUUUGGGUUGUUUUGUUUGUCUUUGUUUAUAAUGCAGCUGAGAUAGGGUGACUUGAUAUUUUUAAAAUAGAAAGCUGAUGCCUUCUGAGGGAAUGAGGGGGAACAGAGGAGAACUUCACUAGCUGGAAACAUGGGUCAUGCCAGGGACAAUUUGUUGCUGUGAAGAGUGUGUUAGAGAUGGGAGGAGGAUUGUGUAGAAGCUGGUACAGAGGGAAGAAUAAUACUUGAGUGCCUAAUACACUGACUGUUCUCCAAAUGCUGGACCCUAAUUGCUCUUCAAUGGCAGUCAUGUAUCUCCUUUCAUUUAUGAUUUUUUUUUUCCUCCUCUCUCUCUUUUAAGAGAAAUCAUUGAUUGAACUGUUCGAACCCUCAGCAUUAGCAAUUAUCAGGUACUGAAUGCCAAAUAGAUACCUCCUAUUUCAUACACUAUUGUCACAGUAUCUCCUAUCACUCCCUAAAAAUAAAACCUGGCUUAUUAUUGAGAUAACAAUGUCAAUGGGAUUACAAAUCCAAUUGUGUGAAUUAUUGCAUAGAUGAACCCUCACAAAAAUACUCUACAUUUUGUCCCUUCUCAUUUUAAUCAUUACCAGAGCACAUAAGACUGUAAAUUUAGGAGUGUGCUGUUUUGGAGCCUGUUGUUCACUGGAGUUCAAUGUGCAUGAUCUACCAAGGAGUAAUAAUAAAUAGUCAGAGAAAUAAAUUAUCAAUAAAUUGUCAGAUAUGGUAUGGAACAAGAGGAUAAUAUACCAAUGACAUGGUGUCUUCCAGGGAUUUCUGAUCAGAUUAACAGCAUGAGUCUCCACAGUAGACCUGCUUGUUUCUGCUUUAUGGUUGUUAAGAUGAACACAAAUAAAUUCAUGAGCAGCACAAGUAAGGUAUUCUGUUUUUCAGAGUGAUCACCCUUAGACUAUCUCAGUAGUUUGAAGUUAAUAUUUUCUUGGCAUUUCUACGUCUGUGAUAUAAAUAAUGUGAUAAAGUCUAUUUAAUGAUAAUCCUCUUUCCUUACAUGUUGUCAUUGCCAUUGCACAGCUGCCUCACUUUUCUCUGGUCAAACUGGACAAGGGAGCCAGAAAUUAGGAGUAGUAUUGAAAUAAACUCUUGUUCUGAAUUACAUAUUCCCAUUGGUGCUGAUGGAAUUCAAAUACAACGUCAGAUAGGCUUUGUAAGCUCCUGCUGAUGGAUUAAGAUAGAGAACGUGUCAUUGUUUUUGUAUAUCUUUUAUCACCUACUUUUGAUUUUAUUGUUCAGAAAUAAUCAACAUAGUGGGUAUUUUGAGAAGUUUAGCAAAGGUACCCUUUACACAGAUUCACUUCAAACAUCAGUAUAUACUGAGAGCUGGGAAAUAACAUUUGACAGAACAGCAUUAAGAGACAUUCUUUCUACCACUUCCUUUCUGACUGAUGUUAACAAAUGCAUGUUUUUAUGUUCCUUCCCUUGGGAAAGGGAGAACACUGAACUCG